RNAcentral lists this ribosomal RNA (315 nucleotides) under Triticum aestivum (bread wheat). RNAcentral's name for it is "partial small subunit ribosomal RNA". The record is from RNAcentral. Lineage: Eukaryota; Viridiplantae; Streptophyta; Magnoliopsida; Poales; Poaceae.
AUGAAGCUAAAGCAGUGGCUUUCAAAAAUUGUUACUGAGACUGGAAUCAUACACAUCAUGGAUAACUUACCAGAAGGGUCAAAGAAAUUUGUCAUGCCACUGAGUGUGUAUCUGUAUCUAAAUCAUUCACGCGUGCAGGUCAUGCUGCCAGUGCUUGAGUGCGCUAAUGUAAACGACCGCGAAGGAGGCAGGCAUUAUUGGGUCUUCAACAUCAACCUGAGGGACGGACAUUUCGAAGUCCUUGAUUCAAACAGGAAGCUAGAAGACAUUGAGUUGAUGAACACCGCCUCUACGAUUGCGGGGGCAGUACGCUAG